RNAcentral lists this ribosomal RNA (492 nucleotides) under uncultured bacterium. RNAcentral describes it as "partial 16S ribosomal RNA". It matches the Rfam family "Bacterial small subunit ribosomal RNA", at positions 29 to 507 of the family's 1533-position model. The record is from RNAcentral.
AGUGAACGCUGGCGGUAGGCCUAACACAUGCAGGUCGAACGGCAGCACAGUAAGAGCUUGCUCUUACGGGUGGCGAGUGGCGGACGGGUGAGGAAUACAUCGGAAUCUACUUUUUCGUGGGGGAUAACGUAGGGAAACUUACGCUAAUACCGCAUACGACCUACGGGUGAAAGCAGGGGAUCUUCGGACCUUGCGCGAUUGAAUGAGCCGAUGUCGGAUUAGCUAGUUGGCGGGGUAAAGGCCCACCAAGGCGACGACCCGUAGCUGGUCUGAGAGGAUGAUCAGCCACACUGGAACUGAGACACGGUCCAGACUCCUACGGGAGGCAGCAGUGGGGAAUAUUGGACAAAGGGCGCAAGCCUGAUCCAGCCAUACCGCGUGGGUGAAGAAGGCCUUCGGGUUGUAAAGCCCUUUUGUUGGGAAAGAAAAGCAGCAGGUUAAUACCCCGCUGUUCUGACGGUACCCAAAGAAUAAGCACCGGCUAACUUCGUG